RNAcentral lists this ribosomal RNA (624 nucleotides) under uncultured bacterium. RNAcentral describes it as "bacterial SSU rRNA". It matches the Rfam family "Bacterial small subunit ribosomal RNA", at positions 43 to 686 of the family's 1533-position model. The record is from RNAcentral.
CGGGGAUUACACGGCGAUGCGAUUUCGGUCCUUCAAGUGCAAUCUUAGUGGCGGACGGGUGAGUAACGCGUGGGUAACCUGCCUUGCACUGGGGGAUAACACUUAGAAAUAGGUGCUAAUACCGCAUAAGCGCACGGUCCUGCAUGGGACAGUGUGAAAAACUCCGGUGGUGCAAGAUGGACCCGCGUCUGAUUAGCUGGUUGGCGGGGUAAAGGCCCACCAAGGCGACGAUCAGUAGCCGGCCUGAGAGGGUGGACGGCCACAUUGGGACUGAGACACGGCCCAAACUCCUACGGGAGGCAGCAGUGGGGGAUAUUGGACAAUGGGGGGAACCCUGAUCCAGCGACGCCGCGUGAGUGAAGAAGUAUUUCGGUAUGUAAAGCUCUGUCAGCAGGGAAGAAAGCAAUGACGGUACCUGACCAAGAAGCCCCGGCUAACUACGUGCCAGCAGCCGCGGUAAUACGUAGGGGGCAAGCGUUAUCCGGAAUUACUGGGUGUAAAGGGAGCGUAGACGGCUGUGCAUGUCUGGAGUGAAAAGGCGGGGGCCCAACCCCCGGACUGCUCUGGAAACUGUAUGGCUGGAGUGCAGGAGAGGUAAGCGGAAUUCGUAGUGUAGUGGUGAAA